UACGGAGGGGGCUAGCGUUGUUCGGAAUUACUGGGCGUAAAGCGCACGUAGGCGGCUUUGUAAGUUAGAGGUGAAAGCCCGGAGCUCAACUCCGGAAUUGCCUUUAAGACUGCAUCGCUAGAACUGUGGAGAGGUGAGUGGAAUUCCGAGUGUAGAGGUGAAAUUCGUAGAUAUUCGGAAGAACACCAGUGGCGAAGGCGACUCACUGGACACAUAUUGACGCUGAGGUGCGAAAGCGUGGGGAGCAAACAGG
This 253-nucleotide ribosomal RNA is filed under the name uncultured bacterium. RNAcentral's name for it is "partial 16S ribosomal RNA". It matches the Rfam family "Bacterial small subunit ribosomal RNA", at positions 524 to 776 of the family's 1533-position model. The record is from RNAcentral.